CGGGGUGUAGCGAAGUCCGGUUAUCGCGCACGCUUUGGGAGCGUGAGAUCCCCGGUUCGAAUCCGGGCACCCCGA
Molecule: transfer RNA, 75 nt
Filed under: Anaerolineae bacterium
Lineage: Bacteria; Bacillati; Chloroflexota; Anaerolineae
Description: tRNA-Pro
Rfam family: tRNA
About the family: Transfer RNA (tRNA) molecules are approximately 80 nucleotides in length. Their secondary structure includes four short double-helical elements and three loops (D, anti-codon, and T loops). Further hydrogen bonds mediate the characteristic L-shaped molecular structure. tRNAs have two regions of fundamental functional importance: the anti-codon, which is responsible for specific mRNA codon recognition, and the 3' end, to which the tRNAs corresponding amino acid is attached (by aminoacyl-tRNA synthetases). tRNAs cope with the degeneracy of the genetic code in two manners: having more than one tRNA (with a specific anti-codon) for a particular amino acid; and 'wobble' base-pairing, i.e. permitting non-standard base-pairing at the 3rd anti-codon position.
Source: RNAcentral